This 573-nucleotide ribosomal RNA is filed under the name Pseudeurotium sp. 01NH01. Its description in RNAcentral is "eukaryotic LSU rRNA". The stretch from base 221 to 374 matches the Rfam family "5.8S ribosomal RNA". Lineage: Eukaryota; Fungi; Ascomycota; Leotiomycetes; Thelebolales; Pseudeurotiaceae. The record is from RNAcentral.
UAGAGGAAGUAAAAGUCGUAACAAGGUUUCCGUAGGUGAACCUGCGGAAGGAUCAUUAAAGAGACGUUGCCCUUCGGGGUCGACCUCCCACCCUAUGUUUAUCAUACCUCUGUUGCUUUGGCAGGCCCGUCCUCGGACCGCCGGCUCCGGCCGGCCCGUGCCUGCCAGGGAACCUAAAACUCUGUUUGUUAAUGCAGUCUGAGUACUAUAUAAUAGUUAAAACUUUCAACAACGGAUCUCUUGGUUCUGGCAUCGAUGAAGAACGCAGCGAAAUGCGAUAAGUAAUGUGAAUUGCAGAAUUCAGUGAAUCAUCGAAUCUUUGAACGCACAUUGCGCCCCCUGGUAUUCCGGGGGGCAUGCCUGUUCGAGCGUCAUUACAACCCUCAAGCUCUGCUUGGUAUUGGGCCCCGCCGGUUCCGGCGGGCCCUAAAGUCAGUGGCGGUGCCAUCCGGCUCCGAGCGUAGUAAUUCUUCUCGCUCUGGAGACCCGGCUGUGUGCUUGCCAGCAACCCCCAAUUUUUUAAGGUUGACCUCGGAUCAGGUAGGGAUACCCGCUGAACUUAAGCAUAUCAAU